UACGGAGGGGGCUAGCGUUGUUCGGAAUUACUGGGCGUAAAGCGUACGUAGGCGGUUAUUCAAGUCAGAGGUGAAAGCCCGGAGCUCAACUCCGGAAUUGCCUUUGAAACUAGAUAGCUUGAACGUCGGAGAGGUGAGUGGAAUUCCGAGUGUAGAGGUGAAAUUCGUAGAUAUUCGGAAGAACACCAGUGGCGAAGGCGGCUCACUGGACGACUGUUGACGCUGAGGAGCGAAAGCAUGGGGAGCGAACAGG
RNAcentral lists this ribosomal RNA (253 nucleotides) under uncultured bacterium. RNAcentral's name for it is "partial 16S ribosomal RNA". It matches the Rfam family "Bacterial small subunit ribosomal RNA", at positions 524 to 776 of the family's 1533-position model. The record is from RNAcentral.